Molecule: non-coding RNA, 567 nt
Organism: Galeopterus variegatus (Sunda flying lemur)
Lineage: Eukaryota; Metazoa; Chordata; Mammalia; Dermoptera; Cynocephalidae
Source: the annotation of a RefSeq genome assembly
UGCCUCACCCUCACGGAGGGUUUACCUUCUGCAGACUCUAGUGGCUGGAGAACUGGGAUGCAGUGCCUGGCCUGUGAGGUCCUGCAGCAGAUGUGGGGAUUUUUUCUUCUUUAUGUUUCCCUGAAGAUGGGAGGUUCUGCAGGACAAAGCAUUGAGCAGCCCACUGAGUUGAUGGCUAUGGAAGGAGCCUCUGUCCAGGUCAACUGCACGUACCGGACAUCUGGGUUCAAUGGGCUGUCCUGGUACCAGCAACUCGAUGGUGGAGCACCCAUAUUUCUGUCUUACAGUGUUCUGGAUGGUUUGGAGAGGAGAGGUCGGUUUUCUUCAUUCCUUAGUCAGUCUGAUAGGUACAGUUACCUCAUUCUGAAGGAGCUCGAGACGCAAGACUCUGCCUCUUACCUCUGUGCGGUGAGAGACACAGUGAUCGUGAGGCCUCUUCAGCUGUCCCCAAAUUCAAAAGGCUACCAUGGCAGUGAGAAGUUAUAUUUCUUGAGUGUUUGUUUGCUGAGAGUUAAGAGUGGGGUUUUUGAAACCAGACUGUUUGGAUUUGAGUUUGCAACUUCCUAA